AAUAUGUUGAAGUAGUUAAGUCAUACAAUAUGAUUUUUUCUAAAUACUUUUGAUAAUGCUACGUAUCCCUCCAUCGCGCUUGGUUGAAAAGCCAGUGGCGCGAAGCUACCGUGCGUUGGAUUAUGACUGAACGCCUCUAAGUCAGAAUCCGGGCUAGAAGCGAUGCGUGUGCCCGUCGCCCGUUUGCCGACCAGCAGUAGGGGGCCUCGGCCCCCAAGAGGCACGUGCCGUUGGUGAUCCCCGCGGGGUGGACGAUCCUCGCGGGACGCCUUGAAGCGCUAUUCCCCACUGGGCGGCGGGUAGAAUCCUUUGCAGACGACUUAAAUACGCGACGUGGUAUUGUAAGUGGCAGAGUGGCCUUGCUGCCACGAUCCACUGAGAUUCAGCCCUUGUCGCUUAGAUUC
Non-coding RNA from Lupinus albus (white lupine), 404 nucleotides. The record is from the annotation of a GenBank genome assembly. NCBI's taxonomy places the organism in Eukaryota, Viridiplantae, Streptophyta, Magnoliopsida, Fabales, Fabaceae.